This 301-nucleotide ribosomal RNA is filed under the name uncultured bacterium. Its description in RNAcentral is "partial 16S ribosomal RNA". It matches the Rfam family "Bacterial small subunit ribosomal RNA", at positions 509 to 807 of the family's 1533-position model. The record is from RNAcentral.
CAGCAGCCGCGGUAAUACGUAGGUGGCAAGCGUUGUCCGGAAUUAUUGGGCGUAAAGGGCUCGCAGGCGGUUUCUUAAGUCUGAUGUGAAAGCCCCCGGCUCAACCGGGGAGGGUCAUUGGAAACUGGGAAACUUGAGUGCAGAAGAGGAGAGUGGAAUUCCACGUGUAGCGGUGAAAUGCGUAGAGAUGUGGAGGAACACCAGUGGCGAAGGCGACUCUCUGGUCUGUAACUGACGCUGAGGAGCGAAAGCGUGGGGAGCGAACAGGAUUAGAUACCCCGGUAGUCCCUGUCUCUUAUAC